This 2477-nucleotide long non-coding RNA is filed under the name Brassica rapa (field mustard). RNAcentral describes it as "long non-coding RNA (BRAP_LNC008766)". Lineage: Eukaryota; Viridiplantae; Streptophyta; Magnoliopsida; Brassicales; Brassicaceae. The record is from RNAcentral.
GAAUCUCUGGUAGUAUCUUUGGGCUAUUCCGCAAUCCUUAGUGUCACCCCCGAUCCAUCAGUUCUCAAUCCUCUCGGAUCUGAGAUCAUAUCAACCUUACCGAAAGAGUGAUCCUUAUUUUGGUUCUAUCACUAACUGUUGGGGUCAAAAAUGGUUACGACAAAUUUAACAUUAAAAACGUCCGAGGAUGAAAAUAAGAAUUUCUCCGAAGAGUACUUUUCGAAAUAGAUUCUUCCUUACGAAAAAGCUUUACGGAAGAAAGAAUCGAGAUGUCCGACGAAAGCCCGAAAUGGGUCGUUACGCAGCGACCGAACGUCCGUCCCGCUCGGUCGCUACGUAGCGACCGAGCCCGGCCAAACUCGGUCGCUACAUAGCGACCGAGCGAUCGUCCCGCUCGGUCGUUACAUAGCGACCAAGCUCGAGCCAAAGCACGGUCGCUACGUAGCGACCGAGCGAUUGUCCCGCUCGGUCGCUACGUAGCGACCGAGCUCAGCCAAGCUCGGUCGCUACGUAGCGACCGAGCUCGAGCUAAAGCUCGGUCGCUAUGUAGGGACCGAGCGAUCGUCCCGCUCGGUCGCUACGUAGCGACCGAGCUCAGCCAAGCUCAGCCAAGCUCGGUCGCUAUGUAGCGACUGAGCUCGAGCCAAAGCUCGGUCGCUACGUAGCGACCAAGCUCGAGCCAAAGCUCGGUCGCUACGUAGCGACCGAGCGAUCGUCCCACUUGGUCGCUACGUAGCGACCGAGCUCGACCGAGCUCAGCCAAGCUCGGUCGCUACGUAGCGACCGAGCGCUCGUACCGCUCGGUCGCUACGAAGCGACCGGGCUUGAGCCAAAGUUCGGUCGCUGUGUAAGCGAUUGACCCUUUCCGAACAUCGAUACGACACCAGUUCUUGCAUUCUCGUCAAAACCUUUGAAUGCUAUCUGAUAGACCGCGGUCCACGGAUCAGUACAUGGAGCCGAACCAGCAUGAAAAUCAGGACGUUCUGAAGUUUUCAACCGAGGUUCAUGAUUUUCACCAUACUGGCCAGAGUGGCCGGACUGUCCCAAAUGCAUCCGGAUGGGAGCUUUGGCUGGAACCAUGGCCAGAUGAUCGAUUUCACUGUACUGGACUUUGUCUUCACUGUCCUGUUUUCCGUUUGAUGAAGAACAGUCGAGACGGAAUCGCAUUCGGACGUACGAAUCCUGAGUUAGGUCAUUGCUAUACAUUUCUGGACAGUACCGCAUGUACCACCCGGAUGUCCAGUUUGAGGCUUCAUCAAUACCCAUGUCCAGACGAUCGAAUUCACCGAACUGGAGCUCGUAUUUCCCGUACUGAUUGGCAUUUUAAGAGCAACGGUCAAGACAGAUUUGGAUUCGGACGAGUGGAACUCAAGAUAGGCCGUGACACUUCAAAACUGGCUACUUUGGACUGUCCUGCUUGUGUACUGGCCCAGUCCGCAGGACAUGCUUCAGGAUACAAUGAACCUGGACGAAAUUUGAAGGGUUUUUCGCCAGUCAAAGUGUGAUUUCGUGCCUUGACCAGAUCUGGUCAAUUUUAUCAUUUUCUAUGAUUAGAUUUCCCACAUUUUUAUUUAAGUCUUUUGACUAGAACUUCUAUAUAAUGUAACCAUCAGAUCUGAAUAAGAUAAUUUGGUUUUGCUUUCAUUCUUUUGAGUUUUACUCUCUUUGUUCUUUGUUAGAACAUUUCUUAGUUUCUUGGUGAGGUUAUCUCCAAGUCUCGAUCCUUCUUUUGUUGGACCGGUGCGUCACAUCCGGCAACGAUCGAAGUCUGGUAGUAUCUUUGGGCUAUUCCGCAACCCUUAGUGUCACCGUUCAUACCAUCAGUUCUCAAUCCUCUCGGAUCUGAGUUCAUAUCAACCUUACCGAAAGAGUGAUCCUUAUUUUGGUUCUAUCAAGUGGUAUCAGAGCCACUCUUCCGGUAUCUCUUUUCAUUCCAUCUUUCUCACCUAUCACUUUCUUCAUAAAAAAAAAAAAAAAAUUCUUCUUCAAACACUUCUUCUUCUACCUUUCUUAAAUCCGGGCCCCUCAUUACCAUCCAUAUAUAUUAAAAAAAAAAAAGAUUUACGAUUUGAUUCAAAAAAAAAAAAAAAAAAAAAAGUUCAAAGUUUGUUUUGUGGAUUGGUGGUGGAAGAGAAAGCCUGCUGGCUGAGGAGAAAUCCAGCCUUUGAGGUGGUUAAAACGGAUUUCAAAAAUCAAAAUCUCUUAUCUUUCUAUCUUGAGAAAAUUCCCUUGUUUGCUUGGAUUUGCCCAUUGGGAUUCUUUGAUUUGUUCUCUUAGAACAUUGCGUAGAAACUUGUGUGUGAUCACCUAAAUCUGAGAGAAACACUUGAGUGGGUGAGAAUAAAACACUUGAGAGAGUGAGGUUUUAUUUCCUAACUUUUGUGUUGAGAUUUUCAGGUUAUGAUGUUUGGUCUUCAAAGGAAAAGUAACAAGGAGAAGCACCCACGACUUUCUGUCUCUCAAACCUCCUUUAAAUA